GUUUUGAUAGUUUAAUAAAAACUUUGGUCUUGUAAGCCAAAUAUGGAAUAAUUUUCUCAAAACU
This 64-nucleotide transfer RNA is filed under the name Huananpotamon koatenense. Its description in RNAcentral is "tRNA-Thr". It matches the Rfam family "tRNA". Rfam says of the family: Transfer RNA (tRNA) molecules are approximately 80 nucleotides in length. Their secondary structure includes four short double-helical elements and three loops (D, anti-codon, and T loops). The record is from RNAcentral. Lineage: Eukaryota; Metazoa; Arthropoda; Malacostraca; Decapoda; Potamidae. RNAcentral also lists the same sequence under 1 other name.